Molecule: long non-coding RNA, 700 nt
Filed under: Salmo salar (Atlantic salmon)
Lineage: Eukaryota; Metazoa; Chordata; Actinopteri; Salmoniformes; Salmonidae
Description: lncRNA (ENSSSAG00000093785.1)
Source: RNAcentral
ACGGUACAGAGUCAAUGUGGAGGCUAUAUACAGGGUAUUACGGUACAGAGUCAAUGUGGAGGCUAUAUACAGGGGGGUACCGGUACAGAGUCAGUGUGGAGGCUAUAUACAGGGGGGUACCGGUACAGAGUCAAUGUGGAGGCUAUAUACAGGGUAUUACGGUACAGAGUCAAUGUGGAGGCUAUAUACAGGGGGUACCGGUACAGAGUCAAUGUGGAGGCUAUAUACAGGAGGUACCGGUACAGAGUCAAUGUGGAGGCUAUAUACAGGGGGUACCGGUACAGUGUCAAUGUGGAGGCUAUAUACAGGGUAUUACGGUACAGAGUCAAUGUGGAGGCUAUAUACAGGGGGUACCGGUACAGAGUCAAUGUGGAGGCUAUAUACAGGGGGGUACCGGUACAGAGUCAAUGUGGAGGCUAUAUACAGGGGUACACGGUACAGAGUCAAUGUGGAGGCUAUAUACAGGGGGUACCGGUACAGAGUCAAUGUGGAGGCUAUAUACAGGGUUACGGUACAGAGUCAAUGUGGAGGCUAUAUACAGGAGGUACCGGUACAGAGUCAAUGUGGAGGCUAUAUACAGGGGGUACCGGUACAGAGUCAAUGUGGAGGCUAUAUACAGGGGGUACCGGUACAGAGUCAAUGUGGAGGCUAUAUACAGGGGGUACCGGUACAGAGUCAAUGUGGAGGCUAUAUACAGGAG